This 11047-nucleotide long non-coding RNA is filed under the name Homo sapiens (human). Its description in RNAcentral is "HSALNT0015182". Lineage: Eukaryota; Metazoa; Chordata; Mammalia; Primates; Hominidae. The record is from RNAcentral.
GGCCUGAUAUUCGGUGGAGAGCCGCAGCUGCCCGCCGCGGGGCCCCAGGCGCAGCACGCUCUCGCGCGUGGGCCGCAGCUGGCAGCACAGGAAGUCCAGGUGGAAGAGCGGCGGCGUGGGCGGCCCGGCGCGGCGCGGCGAGUGCGGGCUGGUAUCGGCCGAGCUCGCUUUUUCUGGGGACAGAGAGUGAGGCCUGGACACCCGGCGCCGGCCCAGGCCUGGCCGCGGGGAGCCGAAGGGCGACGAGUCCGGCGACGAGGCCGUGUCGCUGUCGGGGGCCCGGCAGAGGCGCAGGUCCGGGGCGGAGACGUGCAGCCGGGACUGCGCCGCGGGGAGUCCCCCGGCCGGGGCAGGUGGCGGCCCGUGGAACAGGGAUUCCCGCCGGCGCGUGUGCGGGCUCUCGGGCAGGAAGGCCCAGCCUUCGCGGCCCGCCAGGGCCGAGAGGGUCCAAAUCCCGUCUCAGAUGGGAGUGCUCGGCGGAGCGGGGCUGGGCGAGGAGCGCAGAGGAGUCAGAGGUGAGUGAUGCUGGCGUACACCGGGCGGUCAGCCACCGCGCCCCGGUCUCCGGACCCACUGGGAGCGCGGACCCCUAUUUGAGCAGAAAAAGAAAGGGCGGCGCAGUCUGGGGGGCUGGGGAGAAAUGGAGGGAGCAAAGGGCCAGUCAGUCACAUUUUCAUAUACGGGCCUCCGUCACCAAGUACACAGAUUCUCCCACUGGUACUAAAGAUGCCCCAUUCACCUUACAGUUAGAGGGCCCAUAUAGUAUCCACCAGAACCCUAGGGUACUAUUAGGACAAAUAGGAUAAUAACCGCAUUAUAGCAAAAGGACUCAGAUCCCAACCCCCCUGGGACACUGCGCCCUAGGCGGGCUCACGCCCUCCUCCCCCGCCCAUUUCGAAGACUUGGGUUUUCCUCUGGGAUCCAGUCUGGCGCCCCUUGGGACUUCCUCCCUUUGCCAGGCUGCCCCGGCUCAAGCUUCUCUGGCCUGAGCCAUCCCUCAGUCCUAGCCCCACCUGCCUCCUCUGGCUCCUCCUUCCCCUCCUCGAGUCGCUCCAAGCCAGAAGAGGACUCACUUCUGCUCCUGGCAGCCAGGGGACACACCUGGCUGCUGACCUCAGGACACCCUGGGCUGGUCCAAGGAGACGCACCUCCCGGGGACACAGAAUCCCACCCCCAGUAGCCCUGACCGUCCAGCUCCCGCGCCUCCCAGCCCUACCGCAUCCCGCGUCUGCAGGGCGGGGCCGGGCCGUUGGGUCGCCCCUCCUACUCUCCACUCCUUUUCUCCCUCGGAAACCACCGAGCACAAAGGCAGCAUUGAUUCUCCGCCACCCUCAGAGCGGUCUCCGGAAGGCUCCGCCACCACGCGCUCGCCUCACCCCUGCGCGGAGCCACCAAGAGCACCGUGUUCCGACCCUCUGCCCUGGGAUCCGAGCUAGCGACCCUCUCCGUCGCGCGCCCGGAGUGCUGGCCUCACCUGUGGGUCGCUUUUGGGUUCUGGCCUCAGGCCCUGAAACUUUCAGAGCCAGAGGGGAGCAGCUUUCUCUGCAGCUUGCUCCCCCAGCGCAGUCCUUAUGGGAGGAGCUGGCAGGGGCCUCCGCUGCCUACGUCCUACCUCUUUUCCUGGAUAAACACAGCUCUGUCUGCGCGGCCAUCAGCCCGGUCUUCUGACUUCCUCCAGCUGAAGCCAGGUUUCUAGCAACAAUCCAUUCCUGUGCCCAGGCCUCCUCUGCUGAAGCUGGGCUGCUUAGGGGUGGGGGAGGGCUACAGAGAAGAGGGAGACGGCCAUCAGUGGACAGUGGCCACUUCUUUGGUGCUCGGUUCCAACCCCAGCCCUCACAGGUGAAGUCCAUCUUCUGUAAAACCCUCCUGGUUGAAAUCCUGCCUUGGCCCCCAGUGCCCUGUUCUGGAGCCAUUCCAAUAGCUCCAAGGCAGAGUGACUUGCAGUGAUCAGUUGUCUGCAUUAUUCUGGCUAAUAGUUCUCUGAAUUAUUGUGGCUAAAGGAAAAGUGGCCAGACUCAGGAUUUCUGGACUUAGAAACACUGAAGAUAAAGCUGGAUCCAACAGUCAGGAUCAAGCUGGCCUAUGUCCUCCAUCCCUGACAGAUCUUAGGAAGCACAGGCCACCACAGACAAGAUGAGACCAUCAGUUGCAGUCUAGACACACCUACCAUCCUUCAGUCUCUGAAAGGAAGCAAGGCUAGUUCCUCCCCUAGGACCACUCUUCUCCUUCAUGCUUCAGCUCUGGAGGCCCUCACUGACACCCUCCCAUCUAAAUUAGGGGCACCUGCUGUACACUUUCAUAGUACCUCAUACUUUUCCUUUAUAGCAUUGAUUACAGUUUUUCCCCCUCUAUUUAUGUGGUUAUUUGUUUAAUGUCCACCUCUCUUACUAGACUAAGAAUCUUAAAAACAGUGCUUGGUGCAAAGCAGGUACUCAGUCAGGAUGUAUUUGAUGAGUGAAGUAGUAAGCAAAAUUAUACUUGAAUCAAUUUGUUCAUCCAUUCAUUGAAGUGCCUAAAAUGCACCAGGCACUGUGCUAGGGGGAUACAUAGAAUAGAGAGCUGUCUAAGGGGAGAGACAGACAAUAAACAUGCAAACAACAAUAAGACAAAUCCUGAAAUGCAGGAAAAAAGAUGAAACAAACCAGUGAAUGCAAUGAUUAUUGUGUCAUCUAAUACUUGAAGAUUUUAACAAAGCAAGUGUUUCUUCUGUGGCGAUCCCUGGUGGCCUCCAGACCUUCCAUUCAUGUGGCUUCUGACUCAGCUCAGCCCUGGUGUUGUUUCUGGGGAGGGUCCAUGUUCUUGGAGUGCUGCAGUAUUCAUUGCUUUGUCAUCAGUCAGAUGGGCUGGGAAUCUGGAUUCUGCGACUGACUAGCUGUGUGACCUCUAGCAUGUAACUUAAUCUCUUUGGGGCUUACCUUUUCCAUCUGGAAAACAGAAAGAAUAAAACUCUCAGAGUUGGUAUGAGGAUUAAAGAUAACACGUGGGCAUCAUUUAGGCUGACAUCCGCUAAAAGUGUGAGAAAACAGAAAACCCAACUCAGUCUGACUUAACAAUAUGGACACUUGACUUCCAUAAUAAGAAGUCCAGAAGUAGGUAGGACCCAGGGAACACAACUGUUUUAUUUUUCUUCCUCUUCUUUUUUCUCUUUAGGCUAGUCAAGUGAAGCAAUGGGAGUGGAGAUGGAACAAAGAAAUCUGCAAUUGGUUGUGAUCAAUUAGUUGUAAACACUACUGCACUUGGACCAACCUCUUCCUUUUCCUGACUGCUUAGGAAGGAUGGAAUGUAUUUCCUUCCUUCUGGGAGUGUUUGAAUGAAGAUUAGACUCUCCUUGACCAUGAAUGAAGAGCAACCAGUUUUUUAGUAUACAGUGAUUUAGACUCUGGGUCUAGAGUGUAGAUAUCAUGGGCACUGUGAAAGCACAGAAGGAGAAAAGGUUUUUAUGUGAGUAUAUGGGAGAGGAAAUAGUUUAUUGUCAUAAGCUUUUUGGCUAUGGCCUCCAUUACAUCUCUAGCUUUUGGAAGGCACUAAAUUGAGGCCAUUCAAAUCCAUGUCCACCUAUCCUUUGCCCGUCACGAGACUGAUGGCUUAGGAAGCAUGUGGUCUAGGUACUAGAGAGGGAGCCUGACCCACCUACCUCACCGCUGCUGCUGAAUUUGUGCACAACUCUCUGACCUGGUUCCAUGUCACAAAGGGUUUCAUUCUCUCUGAUUCCCUGAAUCCCCAGCUCUAGCCGCAGAUCCUGGAACCCUAGCAUAUGCCUGAAGCUGAAUAUUUUACUUGCCAGAGUAAGAGUUUUUACAUAGACUCUGUCAUCUUCUACUGGCCCUCCUCUUAAACUGAGGCAGCGGCUGCUAGCUACUCACCAAACCUAUUUUACUUUCUUUUUCUUUUUUUUUUUUUUUUUUUGAGACAGAGUCUUGCUCUGUCGCCCAGACUGGAGUGCAGUGGUAUGAUCUCGGCUCACUGCAACCUCCGCCUCUCAGGUUCAAGCGAUUCUCCCACCGUAGCCUCCUGAGUCGAUGGGAUUACAGGUGUGUGCCACCACACCCAGCUAAUUUUUGUAUUUUUUGGUAGAGAUGGAGGUUUCACUAUGUUGGCCAGGCUAGUCUCUAACUCCUGACCUCAAAUGAUCCACCCACCUCAGCCUCCCAAAGUGCUGGGAUUACAGGCAUAAGCCACCGUGCCUGGCCCCCCAUUUUACUUUCUUCUUUAACAUAUAGUUAGAAUGAAAACAUGUUGAAGGGAUGAUGGCAUUAGAAAAUUACCACUGGCCACUAUCACAGUAAUAAUUGCUUUAGGCAAGAAUGAUCGAUAAAAGCUAAAAUUAAUGGGCAAAAGUAUGAUGAGAAACAGGAUAUUUAUACAAUCGCAAAGUGCCUCCCAAUAAGAUACUUAUUAAAAAGGUAAAAAUGGUAAUUUUCAGUGGAGAAAUAUGGCAGACACCAUAGUAACCAACUGAUCAAAGGGAACAUUGGCAUUAAUGGGACAAAUCAGCAUCACGUUUCUCUUGUCAUGAAGCACUGAGAAGGCCACAGCAUUGCUUCUGAAAUAUUGCAACAAAAAUGAAUAACUUGAAUCUAAUGAUGAGGAAACAUUGGAGAAAUCCAAACCUUGGAACACGCUACAAAACAACUAACUCGUACUCUGAGAAACAUAUCAGUGGACUGGAUUCCAAACAGUGGCUCAUGCCUGUAAUUUUAACACUUUGGGAGGCCAAGUUUGGUGGGGCUUUGUGUCUGAAUUCUGGCCAAUGGAACCACGUGGAGGCCUGGCCCAGAACAUCUCCCUGUGGAUUCUCUCAUCUGGCAACUGGAUGCCUACACGAAGGGUGAUUUUGGAGUCAUGUGUUGGAGAUCACAAAGCUUUUGUCAGCCAGGUUCCUGAAUGACUGCUAGACACCAUGGGCUGAACUUUAUGAGCUCCAGCACCACCUCCAGCCUUCAGUGACUGUCUGGAGCAGGCAUCCGGAUGGAAGAGAAGGGGGACAACCAUGAACUUGGUGACCCACGGUCAGCCUGAUUUCCCUUGUGGACACAUUUAUGCCCAGUGUGCAUUCCUCCUGAGGUCUGUUCCAAGUCUGGAGGCAGCAGAGUAGAGUGGAGAGAACAGUGGACUUGGAAUCUCACCUCCCAGAUUAGAGUCCUGGAUCUGACUUUGAUUGCUGGUGCUGCCUCGGGCAAGUUACUUUAGCUGUGUGCAUCUCCAUUUCCCCAUGGAUAGAACAUGGGUUUUGGGUAGAAGUGUCUGAUAGCUGUACUGUGCUUUACGGUUCAUGAGCACGCACACAUAGGCCCAUAAUAUCAUAUCUCUGGUCACCCUGGCAGGUAGAUAUUAUUGCCCCAGGUUUCAGGUAAGAAGACUAAAGACCAGGGGUCAAUUGCUUGCUCAGAGUCCCACAGCCAGCAGCAGCCAGGCAGGACACCAAGUCAGAGUCUAGAUUCCGGAUCUUGCCCUCUUCCAAGUGUACCACAUUCUUCUCAAAGUGGCCUCUCAGGUCUUUUGUCCAGAAAAUUUUGAGACUUUGAUGAGAAGCCCAUAUCUGCACACUGGGGAUUAGGCCAGAUAACCCUGUGUGUCCUUCCAGGCCUGGUAUUGUGAGGCUGAAGCCUAGUGCCCCACACUCCCUUCCUCACCCCUUAGAGAAAGAUAGAGACUCCAGGGCCAGCCUGGUGGGUGCUGAACCUGCCCUGCUGAGCCAAGCCCAGGAGGCAGCCAAGGUCCUACCAGUGACCUUACCCUGGGGGCCCCUCCAGGUAGGAGCCUGGUUGGAAAAGACAGACCGACUUCUUCUGGGUUGGCUGGAAAAAGAUGACAUACUCAAAGCCUUGUCCUUCCACUUGGAUGCACCUGGUGAAGAUGCGACAGUCACCUUUGUCUGGGGAGAGAUAGGCAGUGUUGCAGCCGGAGAAGGGAGGGUAUGGUCAGGAUGCAGCACCAUUUGGUUGAGUCUUGCCUCUGGUACAAGAUUAAGGAGAGAAAACCAGAGGACACCAGGUCCACCCCCAGGGAGCCUUCCCUCUGGGAGCAGAGGCACAGUUGCUGUCCUCACAGAGCCUUUCUGUCUAGGGCAGAAACAUGCAGGAAGUGCCCUGGCUGAGAAUGGAGAUAGGAUCAGGGCCAGGGCAAGACUUUAAGAGACCAUAAGCAUUGAAAAUUGAAAAUGUAAUUACUCAUGUAACUCACAUAUAAUUCAAAAGAAUAAUAGUAAACAGUAAAAUAAGAGCAGAAAAGUCCAUCAAAGUUCUGAUUUUUUUUUUCCAAGACAGCUACCACUACUACAUCCUUUUUUGGAAGUAUCAAAUUCUUUGAAAAAAAAUUAUGUUGGUAUUCCUGCUUUGUUUGUGCCAUAAACCCAAGGGUAGUCUGUCCCCUGUACCACUCCUUCAUCACUAGGCAGGAAGACAACAUAUAUGAGUGAGAGAGACAGGGAGAUACACAUGCGUGCACACACGAGUGCACACACACACACAAGAAGGUGGAAGCUCUAUCAUUAGGAUCCAUUAGGAUCAUUAGGUGUUUCAGGAGUGCUGCUCCAGACCCCGCACAGCAGGGAUGAUGUGCAGGGCCUCAGUGGAAGGGGUGUGGGGUCCAAGGGCUUUCAUGGGGUUGGGGCGGAAGGCUUGGGAUGAGGCUUGAUAGUUAGGGAGGGGCAGUCAGUGAGAAGUCGGGGCAGGAGCUGGGCUGGCUGUCCUCCAGUGGGGACAUGCUUGGCUGGGAGCGAAGGUGGGCCCACCAGGGUGUGCUGCUUCAGAUGGGAGGAGGGGAGCUGGAGACCUGAGAGGACACCCGCCGCCUGUUGCCUGGGGCUGCAGCAUCAGGGGUGGAGUUGGACAGCAGGAAGAACUCGCUGAGAACUGGAAGGCGGUCUGUGAAGUUGCUUCUCAGUCUUAGAACACAGGGAAGGGCGGCUGGGGUGUGUGUACUCAUGGUCCUGUCCUUACCUGAGGAAACUGCCAGUCCAGAUGGGAGCUUGAGUCCCCGGAUGUGGUCUCUGUUGGACUUGAAGGAGGGCAGCUUGAUCCAGCCGCUAGACUUAGUCUUCUCCAGAAAUUCUUGGUACAGGCUCAGCAUGUCCGAACACCAGCUGGCAUUGGGAAGAGCAUAAUCCUUCAAGUCUGUCUUCUCUGGCAAGAAUCUUGAGAACUGGGCAGGAAAAAUCAGAAUGACUAGACAGCAUCCUGGAGGGGGGCUGCUGCCUGGGCUCGGGACCUCUAAACAGCUGUUCCUGGGUGCUGGGGCUUCUCAAUCCCUUCUGCCAGAGUAUCGAUCCAAGGGAAAGGGCCCAUAUUCCUUGCAGGGGGGCUGCGGACCCCUAUGGGUGACGGGGCAUAAGGAUGCUAAAGAGCAAGGGAAGGGCGGGCAGGGAGUGGGGCCAGAGAUGAUGGGCAUGCUGCUCGAUGUGGUGCCUUACCCUUGUUCUGCUUAAAACAUGUGAGCAGUUCUUUAAAGUUGACAACUGCUCAUAUUAGCCUCACUGUACAGAUGGGGAAACUGAGGGAAUACGGCCAAGGUUGCCAAGCAUGUGACUGUGAGAGCUGGUGGUCGCACUAGAUGCUGUCUCCUCUGCAGGGCAGGGUCACAGUUGUUGAGGACCAUUCUAGCAACCCCCACCUCAGGGGCUACUCCAGCUCUGCCCACUGCUGUGGGCCUGCCUGGGCAGGGUGGCUCCUUUGAAACACAUUUGGGCCCCCACAGAGGUGUGGUGCCAUGGCUGGGGCACAGACUAUGUGCCCAUCUGUGUGACGUAAGGAAGUCCUCUGUAGCGUCACCUGCUCAUACACCAGUCACAACUGUAGACAGCAUGUGAGCUGCUUGCCAAUGCCACAGAUGGGGUCCUCUGUCUGGGGAUACCCCAGCUUUGCUGCAGUAGUCUGAGUCCCACAGGAGGAAAGUCAUUUGUUGGUGGCCACACAAGACACAGAGCCAGAUGCAGGUCUCCUGGUAGUUUUAGUUUUGAAUGGGGGCAACUUGGUAUCCCAGAGCACUUUCUCUUUGCCAAAUCAAAUAGCUCCUCCGAACACUGCCCACCUGCCCUGGCCAUGGGCUGGGAAGAGGAGAUUUGGGGUGCUCCUUAAGCCCUAGGCUCCUGGGAAAACACUGCCCAUCUGGCUGAGCUGGGAACUCACCAUGGAGUCUGUGGAGGAUCCAAAUGCUGAGGCAGGGUUGAGUCUGGGCAGGAUACGGGGGGCCUCAAGAAGGCCUCUGUGGUGGCCAAGUCUUGCUGCCACCUGGAAGCAUCUCCUUAUCAUGGCCAAGUGCAAGGAUCCAGCCCUGCUUGGAUGGAGGGUCUUGGCUGACUCCCAAGGAGUGCUUUCAGCUGCACUUGGGGCCGCUUCUCUCCCUUCUGUUGCAGGCUUUCUUUCAGAGAGCUAGGCGAGGCUGGGCUGGUGUGCUGCAACACCCACAGAUGCUCGGCGCCUUUAGCUGGUCUAGGAGCCCCACCCAGUGCUUGGGGAGGGACAGAUGCUGCUUGGGCAUGAAAAGGCAGCAGGACUGGCUUGAGUUGCAAAAGGAGUAAACAAGUACAUAAACAAAUAGUAUGGGGUAUAUAGAGCCUUGGAGAGCUGCCUGGGGGUUCUGAGGGAGAAUCCAAGAAUAUUUCCAGAAGGAUAAGGGAAGCCUGUCCCUUGAUUGGAGGGUGCUGGUGGAGUGUUCUUGGUAUGUGCUCUGCAGUGUAUACCGGACUCUGAAAACUCUGGUAUGAUUUUGUGACUCAGAAAACCAACUCACAGGCCGGGUGCGGUGGCUCACGCCUGUAAUCCCAGCACUUUGGGAGGCCGAGGCGGCGGAUUACGAGGUUAGGAGAUCGAGACCAUCCUGGCUAACACGGUGAAACCCCGUCUCUACUAAAAAAAAUACAAAAAAUUAGCCGGGCGUGGUGGCGGGUGCCGGUAGUCCCAGCUACGCAGGGGGCUGAGGCAGGAGAAUGGCGUGAACCUGGGAGGUGGAGCUUGCAGUGAGCUGAGAUCUAGCCACCGCACUCCAGCCUGGGCGACUGAGCGAGACUCCGUCUCAAAAAAAUAAAAAUAAAAAAAUAAAAAAAAAGAAAACCAACUCACAGCCUUAGACACCUCUUUUUUUUUUUUUUUUUUUUUUUUGGUGAGACGGAGUUUCAAUCUUGUCGCCCAGGCUGGUGUGCAAUGGCGUGAUCUCGGCUCACUGCAACCUCCGCCUCCUGGGUUCAAGUGAUUCUCCUGCCUCAGCCUCCUGAGUAGCUGGGAUUACAGACACACACCACCACACCCAGCUAAAUUUUGUAUAUUUUUUUUAGUAGAGAUGGGGUUUUGCCAUGUUAGCCAGGCUGGUCUUGAACUCCUGACCUCAGGUGACCUCCCAAAGUGCUGGGAUUACAGGCGUGAGCCACCGCACCCGGCCAACACCUCUUCUUAUAUCCCGGACAAGGGUUAGCACAGGAGAGUUUCACCUGCUGGUCUCUGGCUGGGGAUAGGAGUUGGAGGUGGGGGAGGGCUUGACAGGGAGGGCAGAAAAUAAUUUGGGAGGAAACAGCUUGGCAGGGAUACUCUCAUGUUUUGGGAACCCCGUGCCCAGGGAGUGGCUCAUGUCAGCAGGCAGUGCUGGGAGUGAGGUGGGCGCGGCAGUGAGGCUUUGUUGAGUGGGAAGGGACACUCAGCCAACAUCUGCAAGGCAGUGGGAUUUGGUGGUGGUGUGUCUUCUAUUGAAUUUAAACUGCCAAUUUUCAAUUAAAAGUCUCAGUUUUAAAUUGACUAAAAUAAAAGCAUGUUCUAAAGAUCAGUCCUCGCGCAGUGGCUCAAGGCUGUAAUCUCAGCAUUUUGGGAGGCCGAGUGAGACCUUGUCUUAAAAAAAAAAAAAUCAGAACUGUGCAAAGGUGGAAUCAUAACAGUGAUGAUGACGAUAAUAAUAGUUGUGAUGAUUAUGACAUUUUGGCAGGUUCCAAAAGAUGAAACUGAUUUAAUGCGGAAAUUUAAAAGAUUUGGUUCACCCUCUGUAUUUGGUUGCCCUAGAAGAAGACUAGAAUAUAAAUAUUUCCCCUCACCUCCUGCAAAGGUUUGAAUUAAACUUCCUCAAGGACUGGGGGAACCAUUUUUUUUUGUUGUUGUUAUUUUGUCAGAGUCUCACUCUUAUUGCCCAGGAGUGCAGUGGCACCAUCUCGGCUCACUGCAACCUCUGCCUCCCAGGCUCAAGCAAUUCUCCUGCCUCAGCCUCCCAAGUAGCUGGGAUUACAGGCGCUUGCUACUACGCCCGGCUAGUUUUUAUAUUUUUAGUAGAGACGGGGUUUCAUCAUGUUGGCCAGGCUGGUCUCAAACUCCUGGCCUUGGCUGAUCUGCCUGCCUCAGCGUCCCAAAGUGCUGGGAUUACAGGCAUGAGGCACCACGCCCAGCUGGAAGUUUUUUUGGUUGAUUCAGCCUCUGGGUCUAAGCAAAGAUAUUUGAGUUGGUUGCCAUCCCCAGAUAAGUGAGAAUAUCUGGCAGCACUCAUUUUCAGCCCUGGGCCGCAGCCGUUGCUGUGAGGCAGAAAUUAAAAAAAGAUAGUAAGUACUACAUUCAUUCACUCCAAGAAAAGUAACAGACAAGGCUAUAAGAAGGUCAUAGUGACCUAGUCUGAGAAGUAAAAGCCAAGGCCCAGAAUGUGGCAAGGCAAAGGUUAAAAAGAAAGGAAGAGCAAGUUUUUCUCUGCCUAGCAAGCUCACUUCAAAGACAAUUAUAAGAUAAUGCUCUUCGAGAAGUCGAAACCAAAGGAAUAGGCUCCAGACAUCCCCCGUCUGGAGCAAGGGUGAAGGAAAAAAAAAAAAGGACAAAUGUCUGUCUGUAUUUAGCCAGUUCUUGUUUUUUCUUUCCACGCAGCUACAAGGCCACCAGCUAUGCAAAGCCACAAGUUAUGCCAAGUCAUCAGUUAUGCUAUAGAUUAUGUGACCUGUCAUUAUAUGAUUAACUGCCUGUUUUGCUUCUGUAAGCCUGCUUAUAAAAAUCCUGCUCAGUCUUUGUUCAAUGCUCAGCUUUUUGGAUGUGAAUCCACUGAGCCAAUGCCUACCUUAAAAUAAACAUCGUCCUGUUUUUCCAUAUCUGUC